GGUUGACCUCGGAUCACGUAGGGAUACCCGC
Molecule: ribosomal RNA, 31 nt
Filed under: Aspergillus nidulans
Lineage: Eukaryota; Fungi; Ascomycota; Eurotiomycetes; Eurotiales; Aspergillaceae
Description: partial 28S ribosomal RNA
Source: RNAcentral